GUCCUGGUUCUCUGGAAAAAGGUUGGACACUCUCAAAAUGCCUUUUUUGAGUAGGGCCACAGCUCGUCCUGACAGGACAAUGAGGGGCUCCCAGAGUUGAUGGGAAGAGCAGGAGUGGGGGUUUUGAUUGCCACCAAGCUUCUCUAAUCCCUCGCCCUCAGCGAUGACACACUGGAGUUACCCAGGCUGUAAGGGCUCGUGGCCUCAACCUUGGCAUUUAUGAGCCUGAAUCAGCAGGGAGGAGACCAACUUCAGAAGCUUUGGCAGCAGUGCCUGAGACCCAGGAGCUCUGAAGGGGGACCUACUCAUGACGUUCAGGCCAUGGCCACCUUGGACCUGUUUUCCCUGAAGAGCCCCAGAGCACACUGCUUGGCUCCACACCAAUCUGAACUUCUAGCUUUAGGCUCCGGCCCCUGCCUGUGAAGACCCCAUCUUAGUUGGCACUGCCCACAGCCUGGGAGGGUCCACUACCCCUCACUGGGUUUGGCACUUCAGAAGGCCACACAUCCUCCACCACAGGAUUGAAUAGAAA
This 532-nucleotide long non-coding RNA is filed under the name Marmota monax (woodchuck). Lineage: Eukaryota; Metazoa; Chordata; Mammalia; Rodentia; Sciuridae. The record is from RNAcentral.